Long non-coding RNA from Zea mays, 808 nucleotides. RefSeq lists it as uncharacterized. The record is from RefSeq and is a predicted model, not a curated record. The transcript has 2 exons. NCBI's taxonomy places the organism in Eukaryota, Viridiplantae, Streptophyta, Magnoliopsida, Poales, Poaceae.
GGGGAGGUGGUUAGUGGUUACAACUACCUCCGCGCUUUUCCCCUGCUCGUCUCCCGGGGAUCCCUAGCUCCUCAUUUGUGCGCUUCGUUCUUCCCCCUCCAUUUGUGACUACUUCCAAGCCCACGCGGUAGAAAUCGCCACCAUAGUGUUGAGGGACCGAGAGGAGAGAGAGAGAGAGCCCGCGGUCACCGCCGUCACCGCACCUGCAUUGUGCUUGGUUCGGGAGGCCGUUGGGGGAAGUCUUCGGGUGCUACGAAACCAUUUGGAGCGACGACGGACGUAUUGGGGGGGGGGGGGGGGGUCUCGGUGGCGAUCCUUCAUGGAGCUCUCGUCGCGUGGUGAACCUUCAAGUCGUCUUCGCCGGCCUCGUCCUUGCCUCUGCGUUGGUGAAGAGCAGGUAGCCCAGGAGGAGGACUACUAUGUGGAGUUUGAUGAAGUUUAGGCGGCGUCUCCCAGUUGACUUAAUGACAUCAAGGAAAUAAUAUUAGCUUGCUUUAUUUGUUAUCAUUUAUUUUUAAGACACUUCCGCUUUGUAAUAAUGUUUAUGACAUUUAUCUCUAAACACUUGGUCAUUAUAUGUGUUGUUCUUCUUUGGCGCACAUAUGAGACGCACCCGGGUUUACCCCUUAAAUCCGGGUGUGACAAUUGCAUAGGGGACAUGUAGGGAGUCUUUGACCUUUGCAAUUGCCUGCAACCAUGUAAUGUGGAGUGGAUAGGUUAUUCCUAAUUGUCUCCAGCAACAUCUCACAGUUGCAUCUAAAAAUAUUUGAUUAACUGAUUCCUCUAUGUGUAGGAAAGUUCAUAGUCA